RNAcentral lists this ribosomal RNA (468 nucleotides) under uncultured bacterium. RNAcentral's name for it is "partial 16S ribosomal RNA". It matches the Rfam family "Bacterial small subunit ribosomal RNA", at positions 28 to 523 of the family's 1533-position model. The record is from RNAcentral.
GAUGAACGCUGGCGGCGUGCCUAACACAUGCAAGUCGAGCGAUUCUCUUCGGAGAAGAGCGGCGGACGGGUGAGUAACGCGUAGGUAACCUGCCCUGUACACACGGAUAACAUACCGAAAGGUAUGCUAAUACGGGAUAAUAUGCUUUAGUCGCAUGGCUGAAGUAUCAAAGCUCCGGCGGUACAGGAUGGACCCGCAUCUGAUUAGCUAGUUGGUAAGGUAAUGGCUUACCAAGGCGACGAUCAGUAGCCGACCUGAGAGGGUGAUCGGCCACAUUGGAACUGAGACACGGUCCAAACUCCUACGGGAGGCAGCAGUGGGGAAUAUUGCACAAUGGGCGAAAGCCUGAUGCAGCAACGCCGCGUGAGCGAUGAAGGCCUUCGGGUCGUAAAGCUCUGUCCUCAAGGAAGAUAAUGACGGUACUUGAGGAGGAAGCCCCGGCUAACUACGUGCCAGCCGCCGCGGUAA